Long non-coding RNA from Papaver somniferum (opium poppy), 2942 nucleotides. RefSeq lists it as uncharacterized. Lineage: Eukaryota; Viridiplantae; Streptophyta; Magnoliopsida; Ranunculales; Papaveraceae. The record is from RefSeq and is a predicted model, not a curated record. The transcript is spliced from 5 exons.
UUCUGUUAUCGACCAGAAACCCAAUUUCAUUCUCAUCCCUCUCCAACUCCAGAAAACAUCAAUACCUUCAUUUUCCUUCGUUACUCCAUCUUCCCCACCUCUUUGUGCUUAACCACCAUCAUCAUAAUCACCCUCAUUUCAUCAUUAACUCUCUCUCUCCUAAUCUUAUCUUAUCUUUAACAGUAAACCUAGAAGCUAGGUUUGGGAGAGCUGGGGUUAGAGUUAUCUAUAAACAGCUGGAGGAACACUAAAUUAAUGAAUUGCAGAGAAGAAUUGAAGAAGGGAAGCGUCAGAAAAGUGGUUUUGUGAGUAGAAACCAGCACUGCUUUCCGUCGAAGAAGACACCAGAAGAGUGGAUUCCUACCCUAAAGUUUAACUUACAAGCCAGGCCCAAAAAAUGUAGUGGUAUAAAGGGCAAAUCUGAUGUAUGGAAGCUGGACCUGCAUGGUUUGGCAUGUUUCUGGAGCUGUUAACGCCUUAAAGGAGCAUCUUUGAAGGAUGGAGACUUAAAUCUCACUACAUCAUUCUAUAUUUCCAAAUGGAUUGGUUGACCCAAAACCUGGAUUUUCGAUUGAUUCUGUUAGUCGCUUCAGCAUGAAGGGAAAGACUGACUGAGCAGGAAAUAACUUAGAAAAGCGCAGGAAGUAUUACAUGUUAUAAUUUAUAACAGGGAAGUGGGUGCUGUACAGUUUGCAGACAUUAUCUGGGCCUGAGUUUCUUCCGUGCAUUUAGCAGUCCCUCAAAGCUGUAGAUACUUCUCAGUGUCCAACGGAUGGUUUCUCGAGUACGCAAAUCGCAUUGACCCCAGGGUGUUUUUCAUGAUUCUCCACAAUAGAAGCUCCAGAAUGUAACUACCAGCUCAUAUUCUGCACCCUGGGCUCCUUUUCCAUUUAGUCCCUUCAGCAUGAAGGGAAAGACUGGCUGAGCAGAAAAUAACUUAGAAAAGCGCAGAAGUAUUACAUGUUAUAAUUUAUAAAGGGAAGUGGGUGCUGUACAGUUUGCAGACAUUAUCUGGGCCGAGUUUCUUCCGUGCAUUUAGCAGUCCCUCAAAGCUGCAGGUGAGAUCUUUGAUUACCCAUGUUAUCGGAUUUAUGCUGUUUUUUAUGCUCUAUUAAUCUAUAAUUAAAACUCAAACUGCCCAGACCUUAAUAUGGCUCAGAAGUGUUAUUUUAAACCCCAAGAAAUUCUAAAAGGAGAAACGUUAAAUCCUCAAGGAUACUUUCUAUUGGUUCUCCAACCCAUUUUCUCUAAAAGAUAAAAUAAUGCAACUCUACUAGCGCUUACAAGUAGCGGUUUUUUUAAUAUAUGAGAACUUGUGCUGUAGAUCACCAUCGCCAAUUGUAAGAUGCUCCAGCAUUUAAGAAUAAAUAAUGAAUUCAAGCAUCCAUGAGUUUCUGUCUUAGACAACUCGUAUGUUCUUCCUGUAUGUUCCAGAAAUUUAUCUUGUUACCAGUUCUUCCUGUAUGUUCUUCCAAAUGCUAUGUUUAAAGCUUGGCUGAUAGACAUGAGAAUGCUCAAAUAUAUUUGCUUCAUUUUUGCUUCCUUAGAGUGUACAAGGUACAACUUUUCCCUCUUGUUAUUGCUAGUGACUGUUUGAAAGCAUAUUUGAUUCAUGCAUUGCCUAUACUGACUCCCUCUUGUUAUUGCUAGUGACUGUUUGAAAGCAUAUUUGAUUCAUGCAUUGCCUAAACUGAACUUGGAAAACGUCGUGACGAAUCGUCUGUCCACUUUCCGUGUUCUAAUUUCACAUACUUCUCAUUGUCCAACGGAUGGUUUCUCGAGUUCACAAAUCGCAUCGAGCCCCAGGGUGUUUUUCAUGAUUCUCCACAAUAGAAUCUCCAGAAUGGUACUACCAGCUCAUAUUCUGCACCCUAGGCUCCUUUUCCAUUUAGUCGCUGUCUGCUUCAUCUGUCCAUCCUUCUGUGAAGCAAAUGAUCAUAGUGACCUUCAGAUAUCAAUUGCUCUCAAGGACUCUCUAGUCGUAAAAAUAGAUCUCCUUCCGAGCUGGUGCAACACAGAAGUUCACCAUGUAAUUGGUCUGGUAUAAGAUGCGUCGGUUCCAAAUUUCACGAGGUACAGUUUCCAUUUCCAAGCCACCUUGGGGACUUAGAGCACUGAAGCGUCUUUACGUCAGCUAUUGUUCUCUCGCAGGCACUCUUCCUGCAAAUAUAUGGAAUUUGAAGAAUUUAGAGUCUCUAAGACUUGGGUGGUAACAGUUUGUUUGGGACUUUACCUCUGUCUUUGUCCAGCCUUAAAAUGCUCACGGAACUAAUACCUGAUAAGAAUAGGUUUACUGGCAGCUUACCUUCCACGGUUGGAGAACUUGGAAACCUCAUUGAACUGUUGGUACAUGGCAACUCAUUUUCUGGGAAUCUUCCUCCGGGGCUUAAGAAUCUUCAGAAUCUGGUGUCAGUAGACCUGAUCAUGAACCUCGUCUCUGGGAAUCUGCCUCCAAGCAUCGGAAAUCUUAAAAGGCUUAUAUACUUGGAUGCUAGUCGUAACAAAUUCAUUGGAAUAAUACCUCAAGAGCUUUGAAAUUUGGUACAACUCAGGUAACUCGACCUUUGGUGGAACUCACUGGAAGGACUUAUACCUUUGGAAGUAGGAAAAAAUGUCUGUCCUACAAUCUCUGAUACUGGGAACAAUCUGAUACUAGGAACAAUAAUAUCCUUUGAGAAGUAACAGCCAUAGGAAAUUGGGAAACUGCAAGAAGCAUAAGAUUCUCAAUGUCUUUCAACUCUCUUUCUGGUCCUUUACCAGAGGGACUCAUGGGGCUUGAAGAAUCGUAGAAAUAGAAAUAUCAUUAGAUGAAAACACCUCAGUAGUUGUAUGUAUUAUUGAAGAUUAAAAAAAAAAUGUAGUAGUGAUUUCUCAGCACAUUGUUUUCUUUUUGAAGCAUUCAACACAUCGUUUGGUAUAUACAUUUAUCAUGGCUUCUUUUA